Molecule: long non-coding RNA, 459 nt
Filed under: Mytilus galloprovincialis (Mediterranean mussel)
Lineage: Eukaryota; Metazoa; Mollusca; Bivalvia; Mytilida; Mytilidae
Source: RNAcentral
CUUUGAUGAAAGUUUUAACCACCUUAUUGCCUAUUAUCUUGAAAACUAUAAUAAAAUUAUAAAAAAAUAAUAAGCAAAAUACGAUCAAUAUACAUGUAAAUGUCAACCUGACUGAAACUGCUAGUUAGCUCUUAAUGGAGUUUCCUCUCUAUAUUGAUGAUUUAUCAACCUAUGAGAUUGAAGAUCCCUUUAACAUUUUUCGCCCAUCUUUUAAGAUUAUGGCGGUAAACUCAUCUCGUACUUGAGUGUUUUGUCGCUCAUUAGAAUGAUACUUCCAGUAAUAAGUCUCGAUAUAAGUCUUAAACAAAAACGAAUUACAGAAUGCAACAUGUUUGCUGUGAAACAGAUUUGACGAAUCAAACAGUAAUUAACCAUGGUAAUAACAAUAUUUGGAAGGAAGUUGAGCUCGGCUACAAAACUCAUGCUGCGAAUGACAUUAUUAUAAGUUUUGAGCAAAAG